GUUAUAAUAGUUUAAAUAAAACCUUGGUCUUGUAAAUCAAAAUUAGAUAAUUAAUCUUUAUAACU
This 65-nucleotide transfer RNA is filed under the name Dosidicus gigas (jumbo flying squid). RNAcentral describes it as "tRNA-Thr". The record is from RNAcentral. Lineage: Eukaryota; Metazoa; Mollusca; Cephalopoda; Oegopsida; Ommastrephidae.